This 253-nucleotide ribosomal RNA is filed under the name uncultured bacterium. RNAcentral describes it as "partial 16S ribosomal RNA". It matches the Rfam family "Bacterial small subunit ribosomal RNA", at positions 524 to 776 of the family's 1533-position model. The record is from RNAcentral.
UACGGGGGGGGCAAGCGUUGUUCGGAAUUACUGGGCGUAAAGGGCUCGUAGGCGGCCAACUAAGUCAGACGUGAAAUCCCUCGGCUUAACCGGGGAACUGCGUCUGAUACUGGAUGGCUAGAGGUUGGGAGAGGGAUGCGGAAUUCCAGGUGUAGCGGUGAAAUGCGUAGAUAUCCGGAGGAACACCGGUGGCGAAGGCGGCUUCCUGGACCGACACUGACGCUGAGGCGCGAAAGCGUGGGGAGCAAACAGG